ACCUUAAUAUACUAAACCGCAACCUCUCUACCUCCGAUGUCCUCCAAAACCUACGCCUUGAUCCCGUCCUCCAAGUCCAAAUUGAACAGUUGCCGAUCACCGCCGCGCUCUCCAAGUUCUUCUCCGAUGUUCUCCCUCAGAACCUCGCCGUCGACCUCGCGGACUUAUUCGAUGCCCCAAAACGGUGCAGUUUAGGUUUCGGAAGCAGUGCGGUUUGGGUUUCGGAGGAUGGGACCAAGGAAUUGUGGGAAUGUGCAUUAGCGAGAAGCGCAAGUUGAAAAUUACUGCACAUAUGGGCUAUGUGCAUUAGCGAGAAGCGCAAGUUGAAUCCCAGGUGGUGCCACACUGAUAUUCGACACCGAGCUCGUUGAAAUUUUGGGGAGAGAUUCAAAGAACGACGGGGAGCUGUAGUGGAAUGAUUUCUGGCUUGAGCUUCCUUUUUUUUUUUUUUUUUUCACAUUUAGUUUUCCUAAAGGAAUUACUUGUGGUAACCAGUGGCUUGGUGAGACAAAACGUUAUUUUGCUUUAUAGUCAUUAUCAGAUUACACUACU
Long non-coding RNA from Rosa rugosa (rugosa rose), 552 nucleotides. RefSeq lists it as uncharacterized. Lineage: Eukaryota; Viridiplantae; Streptophyta; Magnoliopsida; Rosales; Rosaceae. The transcript is spliced from 3 exons. The record is from RefSeq and is a predicted model, not a curated record.